Mus caroli (Ryukyu mouse) is the source of this 333-nucleotide long non-coding RNA. RefSeq lists it as uncharacterized. Lineage: Eukaryota; Metazoa; Chordata; Mammalia; Rodentia; Muridae. The record is from RefSeq and is a predicted model, not a curated record.
GAGAGGCACCAGAUAUGGGUGCCUGAAAUCAAAUCCAGGACCUCCACAGUAGCAUCAAGUGCUCUAAACCACUGGGCUGUCUCUCUAGCUCCUAGACCUGGUCUUUGAACGGGGCACUUCUUUUUCUCCAUGACGACACUGGAAGCUUGACCCCUGACCUUUAUUACAGUGACUUUGAACUUCUUUGUUAUGGAUGUUUCAAGGCUAGGACCUGAGUUUAGCUACCAGCACUCUUGUGACUGGGAACAGGCCACUCAACAACCACCUAUAACUUCAGCUCCAGAGGAUCUGAUGCCCUUUUCUGAACUCUCCAAGCAAGUACGCAAAUGUGCA